CAGAAGUUUCAAAACGUCGGUGGAUAUCAGUAAGAGGAGGACAUCAAUCACUCGGUUUCAGCUUACUGGUUGAGGAAAGCGAAAAGUGGACUGGAUGGAUCACUUACCUCUCUCAAAUGCAUCUCUGAUGAGGUUCACCUCCCUCUGGGAACCAGGAACUCUGAAAAUUCCUUCAUGGUGGAGGCCUGCAACACACGCCCUGACAUCAAAGUCCAUCUUCCCCAUAGAAGCUAAAGCAGAUAAACUGACUCACCAUGAAGGUUUAUGAAACGAAUGCAGCUCUCAACCACCACAGGAAUCUGCUGCCCAGAGCUCUGCAGAGACAAGACAGGCAUGCAAAUGGAGAGUGAAGAUACAGUCAAACAUAGAGGAGAAGGAAAUGUUAAAAUGUGUAAGAAAAAUGAAGCAAAAACAGCAAAGAAACAGGAGAAAGUUGAAGCAGAAGGCUAAUAUAAUGCUACUAUUAUCUAAUAGUAUUUUUCAGCCUGUAGCCCCCAAAGCAACAGUUUCAGAGACUGUUGACACCCUAAAAAUACAUAGAAUUAUUGAUACUGGCUUAAAGGGGUGUAUAGUGCCUUUCAAGUAAUAACUAUGUUAACUCCAGUUGAUAAAAAAUGAAAUGCUAUAUAGAUAAAAUAUGACUGAAGAGAAAUUUUACUUUCUGAUUUAAUGGCUUGAG
Long non-coding RNA from Poeciliopsis prolifica (blackstripe livebearer), 679 nucleotides. RefSeq lists it as uncharacterized. The transcript has 3 exons. Lineage: Eukaryota; Metazoa; Chordata; Actinopteri; Cyprinodontiformes; Poeciliidae. The record is from RefSeq and is a predicted model, not a curated record.